GCUCCCAUAGUUUAAUGGAUAGAACGCGGGCCUCCGAAGCUCGCGAUGCAGGUUCGAUUCCUGCUGGGAGCA
RNAcentral lists this transfer RNA (72 nucleotides) under Patescibacteria group bacterium. Its description in RNAcentral is "tRNA-Arg". It matches the Rfam family "tRNA". Rfam says of the family: Transfer RNA (tRNA) molecules are approximately 80 nucleotides in length. Their secondary structure includes four short double-helical elements and three loops (D, anti-codon, and T loops). Further hydrogen bonds mediate the characteristic L-shaped molecular structure. tRNAs have two regions of fundamental functional importance: the anti-codon, which is responsible for specific mRNA codon recognition, and the 3' end, to which the tRNAs corresponding amino acid is attached (by aminoacyl-tRNA synthetases). tRNAs cope with the degeneracy of the genetic code in two manners: having more than one tRNA (with a specific anti-codon) for a particular amino acid; and 'wobble' base-pairing, i.e. permitting non-standard base-pairing at the 3rd anti-codon position. The record is from RNAcentral.